This 538-nucleotide ribosomal RNA is filed under the name Adoretus sp. c.s.syu201290. RNAcentral describes it as "eukaryotic LSU rRNA". It matches the Rfam family "Eukaryotic large subunit ribosomal RNA", at positions 710 to 1209 of the family's 3401-position model. The record is from RNAcentral. Lineage: Eukaryota; Metazoa; Arthropoda; Insecta; Coleoptera; Scarabaeidae.
AAAGGCGUAAUGAAAGUGAAGGUCCGCCUUGCGCGGACCGAGGGAGGAUGGACGAUUUUUAACGAUCGUUCCGCACUCCCUGGGCGUCUCGUUCUCAUCGCGAGAAGAGGCGCACCAAGAGCGUACACGCUGGGACCCGAAAGAUGGUGAACUAUGCCUGGUCAGGACGAAGUCAGGGGAAACCCUGAUGGAGGUCCGUAGCGAUUCUGACGUGCAAAUCGAUCGUCGGAACUGGGUAUAGGGGCGAAAGACUAAUCGAACCAUCUAGUAGCUGGUUCCCUCCGAAGUUUCCCUCAGGAUAGCUGGCGCUCGCUUCUCGCGAGUCUCAUUCGGUAAAGCGAAUGAUUAGAGGCAUUGGGGUCGAAACGGCCUCAACCUAUUCUCAAACUUUAAAUGGGUGAGAUCUCCGGCUUGCUUGAACUGUGAAGCCGCGAGAUAUCGGAUCAGAGUGCCAAGUGGGCCACUUUUGGUAAGCAGAACUGGCGCUGUGGGAUGAACCAAACGCCGAGUUAAAGCGCCUAAAUCGACGCUUAUGGGA